This is a long non-coding RNA of Mus musculus (house mouse), 2588 nucleotides long. RefSeq annotates it as RIKEN cDNA 4732471J01 gene. The transcript has 7 exons. Lineage: Eukaryota; Metazoa; Chordata; Mammalia; Rodentia; Muridae. The record is from RefSeq and is marked validated.
GAACCUGUCCCUGGAGUCUGAUAAAGAUCCAUGGACUGCCGGUGGAGCUGCAUAGCGGAGGGCUUGCUUAGUGUUCACCAGGCCCUAGGUUUGGCUGUAAGCAGCGCCACAAGACAGACAAAACUCAUAACCAAACCAGGACUUAAUGCCUGCUCUGAUUGAGCCAUGCAAAAUCUUUGGUUGUUCUGCCACUGUUUCUCCAGCCUUUUGGAUCCAGGGAAGCUAAAUGGUAACUCCCUCCUUUCUCUAAGGACAACGUAAAAGUUCUCAUGUUUUGCAAGUCGCCCCAGGGUUGCUGGGUUGAUGAAGGUCGAUUGUCAAAGAGCAGAUGGAUGGAUUCACUGAGAGAGUAAGAAGGGGCUGCAAGGAGCUCUUCCAAUUACCGGAUGCCCCUUCUGCCUACCUUUUGCAUUCUAUUUAUUUAGAAAAAGCGGUUAAAAACCCUUCUACGUUAUUCUUUUAAGAGGGCAGAAGACAUGAAAACCGCUUGAACCGAAACAGAAAACACUAAAGGCACAGCUCUUGGCCACACAGAAAAAGGAACCUGAGAGAGAACCUUAUUCCGACAGACGAGCAUUUCGGACACUUCCCCAAAGACCGCACUGGGACAGACGUAGUCCUUACGUCUCGGUGGGGCAUUCUACUCUCACAUCACCCCCCCCCCCACGCGCAGGACGGCAGUGGAUCAGUCCACGGGUCUCUUCCCCCUCGUGGAAGUGGGUCAGUUCCCCCAGUCCCCAGUCCCCCGCAGGAUGUGCGGGAUUUCUUUUAAGCUGUUACCGACUCACCUUUGAUCUUGCCUUUUCGCCACCGCCUGCGACUGCGGUUCUUCGAUCCUUCUUUGCCCUGCUUGGAGGCCUGGGCCCCCACGGGCGCCGAUUCCACGGCCGGCUCCAUCAAUUCUUUCCAGUCCUGGCGCGGGGCCCAAUUCCAGCGAUCAAGUUCCUCUCUUAGAGUCAAUCCUAGUUACACACCACUGCCAGGCCCCCAAACCAUCCAAUCCUGGGCAGGCUCCUCGCGGAGCUCCGCCUUUAAUGGGUGGGGCUGAAGGUCUUGGCCCGCCCAUCUGCUCAGAUUAAAGGAACCGCGCAGUGCACCGUAACGACAAACAAAAAACCAAAAACCAAAAACCAAAAAAAAACCCGCAGUCCUGGAAGCAGCGAGAAGUGCCCUCACAGCAGGAAUAGUGAGGAGUCGCGUUAGAGUCACCCCAACAAAGAAUUCUCAGUCAUCUUGUGCAGAAUCAAAGGAAAGGGGAAGACAGCAACACCGCCGGCCUCAGGGUUGAUCUACAGAAAGGAGCGACUGGGUCCUAUGGCUGUUACCUGCCAUUGCUUCGGAGAGGCGGCAAGGAAGAAGCGCCACAGCUCACCAGCACUUCACUACGCUGUUUCCAUUCCGCCUGGAUCUUGCCACAGACCUCUGCAGCCCUAUCCAGGCCCUGCUCCCAAGCUUCUCUACCCCAUGAAAUCUAGUCAUUCCACGGCGCUGAGGCCCUGUAGAGGCACCGGGCGGCAGAGGUGAGACCGUCUCGAAGCAGAGGCUGUGAAUGGCCUGGAUGUUCGGCUAGUCUACACACACUUGCCAAGUGAGGCAGAUGUGUAAUCAAGGAAUGGCAUAUACUUCGUAAGCCUCGAGGUGCAAUGCAGUCAGCGCUCUACGGUUGUGGAUGUUCACUGGGGACUGAAAUGGUGAUUAGAUACUGCUACCUGCUGAGAGGCCCUGGAGCUAUUUGGGAGACUACACCCUAUCCUGCACGUCAUCACCUGCAGCUGGUUCCAGACUCCAAGUUCCAAGAUGCCUUCCAGGCUAAAACCCGGACAUGUGAGCCACUGGCAGGCCCCAACAAUUACACGAACCAACGUGGAACCUGGGAAAGGCAGAGGACAUUUGGAAGAAGCACUGCUGGUUUGGAGCUCCAUGGAAGAAGAAAAGAAUUAAAGAAAACCCGUACUGGAGAAGCAUGUGCAAAGUCAGUAUCGUGAGGAGUAUCCUGCCCAAGCAGGCUGAUCCAUCUUUGCACUGGAAUGCCCACUAGCAGCAACUUGUCUGGUGUCUGGGUAUCCUUUGGGCCCUGUGUACUCGGUUUGUACUAUCUCAAAACUCAGACUUUGGCUGCUAAAAACAUGUUCCCAGGUUUAGGCAUUUGAGGGUGUCACUACCUCAUGUUGGAGGCAGAUGGCUCUGAGAAGCUCUUCAGUCUUCUCUCCAAAGCAGUGAAAACUGCAGAGCAGUGCACCAACCCGAAACAUUUGCAUUAUUGCCCCUGAACUAUUCAAGAAAUGCUUUGACUCUCACUGUGUGAUGAUAGAGCCCAUCUUGGAGUCUCUUCUGGGUCCCCCGAUUCCAUGAUCCCACUAGGAACACAGGAAGAUGAAGUAAAACCGAGGAAACUGUGUAGGAUUGGGAUGUGUGCCCGACAGCCUGAGGCACAGGAAGUCCUGGGAUACAGUGAUCCUCCGAGGGCUCAGUGACACUGGAAAUAUUAGGGGUGUCACCAUUUUGAUGAUGUUGCUAGCCAGGUUAAUGGCCAGGUCACAUGGUCACCCUUAUCUUAAUGAAGGCAUCAGUCAAGAUGGCAACAAAGC